This 557-nucleotide ribosomal RNA is filed under the name Saccharomyces cerevisiae (brewer's yeast). Its description in RNAcentral is "partial large subunit ribosomal RNA". It matches the Rfam family "Eukaryotic large subunit ribosomal RNA", at positions 83 to 655 of the family's 3401-position model. Lineage: Eukaryota; Fungi; Ascomycota; Saccharomycetes; Saccharomycetales; Saccharomycetaceae. The record is from RNAcentral.
GUACGGCGAGUGAAGCGGCAAAAGCUCAAAUUUGAAAUCUGGUACCUUCGGUGCCCGAGUUGUAAUUUGGAGAGGGCAACUUUGGGGCCGUUCCUUGUCUAUGUUCCUUGGAACAGGACGUCAUAGAGGGUGAGAAUCCCGUGUGGCGAGGAGUGCGGUUCUUUGUAAAGUGCCUUCGAAGAGUCGAGUUGUUUGGGAAUGCAGCUCUAAGUGGGUGGUAAAUUCCAUCUAAAGCUAAAUAUUGGCGAGAGACCGAUAGCGAACAAGUACAGUGAUGGAAAGAUGAAAAGAACUUUGAAAAGAGAGUGAAAAAGUACGUGAAAUUGUUGAAAGGGAAGGGCAUUUGAUCAGACAUGGUGUUUUGUGCCCUCUGCUCCUUGUGGGUAGGGGAAUCUCGCAUUUCACUGGGCCAGCAUCAGUUUUGGUGGCAGGAUAAAUCCAUAGGAAUGUAGCUUGCCUCGGUAAGUAUUAUAGCCUGUGGGAAUACUGCCAGCUGGGACUGAGGACUGCGACGUAAGUCAAGGAUGCUGGCAUAAUGGUUAUAUGCCGCCCGUCUU